Molecule: non-coding RNA, 26 nt
Filed under: Homo sapiens (human)
Lineage: Eukaryota; Metazoa; Chordata; Mammalia; Primates; Hominidae
Source: RNAcentral
UAGGAAUUUGAGCUAAGCAGGUACCA